UACAGAGGAGCCAAGCGUUGUCCGGAUUUAUUGGGCGUAAAGAGCGUGUAGGCGGCCUGACAGGUCAGCUGUGAAAACUCGAGGCUCAACCUCGAGACGUCGGUUGAAACCAUCUGGCUAGAGUCCGGAAGAGGAGAAUGGAAUUCCCGGUGUAGCGGUGAAAUGCGCAGAUAUCGGGAAGAACACCCGUGGCGAAGGCGGUUCUCUGGGACGGUACUGACGCUGAGACGCGAAAGCGUGGGGAGCGAACAGG
Molecule: ribosomal RNA, 253 nt
Filed under: uncultured bacterium
Lineage: Bacteria
Description: partial 16S ribosomal RNA
Rfam family: Bacterial small subunit ribosomal RNA
Source: RNAcentral